Molecule: transfer RNA, 67 nt
Filed under: Paracoccaceae bacterium
Lineage: Bacteria; Pseudomonadati; Pseudomonadota; Alphaproteobacteria; Rhodobacterales; Paracoccaceae
Also listed under: 1 other name
Description: Rhodobacteraceae bacterium tRNA-Arg
Rfam family: tRNA
About the family: Transfer RNA (tRNA) molecules are approximately 80 nucleotides in length. Their secondary structure includes four short double-helical elements and three loops (D, anti-codon, and T loops).
Source: RNAcentral
CCCGUAGCUCAGCUGGAUAGAGCGCUGCCCUCCGAAGGCAGAGGUCACAGGUUCGAAUCCUGUCGGG